Molecule: ribosomal RNA, 851 nt
Filed under: uncultured Ascomycota
Lineage: Eukaryota; Fungi; Ascomycota
Description: eukaryotic LSU rRNA
Rfam family: Eukaryotic large subunit ribosomal RNA
Source: RNAcentral
GGUUUGACCUCAGAUCAGACAAGGAUACCCGCUGAACUUAAGCAUAUCAAUAAGCGGAGGAAAAGAAACCAACAGGGAUUGCCUCAGUAACGGCGAGUGAAGCGGCAACAGCUCAAAUUUGAAAUCUGAAGCCUUUGGCUUUCGAGUUGUAAUUUGAAGAGGAUGCUUCGGUUGUGGCCCUGGCCUAAGUUCCUUGGAACAGGACGUCGCAGAGGGUGAGAAUCCCGUACGCGGCUGGCGGCUUACUUCCAUGUGUAGCUCCUUCGAAGAGUCGAGUUGUUUGGGAAUGCAGCUCAAAACGGGUGGUAAAUUUCAUCUAAAGCUAAAUACUGGCGAGAGACCGAUAGCGCACAAGUAGAGUGAUCGAAAGAUGAAAAGCACUUUGAAAAGAGAGUUAAACAGUACGUGAAAUUGUUGAAAGGGAAGCGCUUGCAAUUAGACUUGCUUUCGGUUGAUCAACGUUCCUUUUGGUUCGUGCACUCUGCCGUUUGCAGGCCAGCAUCGGUUAGGGCGGUGGGACAAAGGCUGUGGGAAUGUAGCUCCCUCCGGGGAGUGUUAUAGCCCACUGCGUCAUGCCACCAGCUCCUGACCGAGGUCCGCGCUUUUGCUAGNAUGCUGGCUUAAUAGUUGUAAGCGACCCGUCUUGAAACACGGACCAAGGAGUCUAACAUCUAUGCGAGUGUUUGGGUGUCAAACCCAUACGCGUAAUGAAAGUGAACGGAGGUGGGAGUCUUCGGAUGCACCAUCGACCGAUCCUGAUGUUCUCGGAUGGAUUUGAGUAAUGAGCAUAGCUGUUGGGGACCCGAAAGAUGGUGAACUAUGCCCUGAAUANGGUGAAAGCCAGAGGAAAA